RNAcentral lists this ribosomal RNA (53 nucleotides) under Melitaea trivia (lesser spotted fritillary). The record is from RNAcentral. Lineage: Eukaryota; Metazoa; Arthropoda; Insecta; Lepidoptera; Nymphalidae.
GUGGUCAGUACUUGGAUGGGUGACCGCCUGGGAACACCGCGUGACGUUGGCUU